Molecule: ribosomal RNA, 465 nt
Filed under: uncultured bacterium
Lineage: Bacteria
Description: partial 16S ribosomal RNA
Rfam family: Bacterial small subunit ribosomal RNA
Source: RNAcentral
GACGAACGCUGGCGGCGUGCUUAACACAUGCAAGUCGAACGGAAAGGCCCCUUUGGGGGUCCUCGAGUGGCGAACGGGUGCGUAACACGUGAGUAACCUGCCCUUGACUUCGGGAUAACUUCAGGAAACUGGGGCUAAUACCGGAUAGGAAUCCUUGCUGCAUGGUGGGGGUUGGAAAGCUUCGGCGGUUUUGGAUGGACUCGCGGCUUAUCAGCUUGUUGGUGGGGUAGUGGCUUACCAAGGCUUUGACGGGUAGCCGGCCUGAGAGGGCGACCGGCCACAUUGGGACUGAGAUACGGCCCAGACUCCGACGGGAGGCAGCAGUGGGGAAGAUUGCACAAGGGGCGGAAGCCGGAUGCAGCAACGCCGCGUGCGGGAUGACGGCCUUCGGGUUGUAAACCGCUUUCAGCAGGGGCGAAGCUUGUGGUGACGGUACCUGCAGAAGAAGCACCGGCUAACUACGUG